UUCCGUUCUUGAGAUAAGAAAGGACUGACGAACAGACGGACGACAGUGGGAUUUUAUAGAGCUCACUCAAGUGCCUAGGAUGAAAAAAAAAAGAAGAGACUGAGAGGAUGAAGGGAGGAGAAAAGAUAGGAUGAGUCAGAGAGUAUGAGGGAAAACUUAUAGAGUUUAAGAUUUAAAAAGCGAUCUAAACAGUUCUAUCAAGAUAGACGACAUACCUUGACAAAACAGUCUCUAGGAAUUAUCGACACGUGUCCUAUUUUAACCUUCUAAACUAAGAUAAAGAAGAAAAAUAAUCAAAGAUUGAUUGAGC
Molecule: long non-coding RNA, 310 nt
Organism: Centruroides sculpturatus (bark scorpion)
Lineage: Eukaryota; Metazoa; Arthropoda; Arachnida; Scorpiones; Buthidae
Exons: 3
Source: RefSeq, a predicted model, not a curated record